GCAAGUCUCCACGAACCUUUCGGGGUUAGUGGCGGACCGCCGAGUAACGCGUACCGAUCUCUCCUUGGGUGGGGGAUAACUCCGGGAAACUGGAGUUUCCACCUCAUGACGCCUGAGGGUCCAAGGCGCGAGUCCCCUGUGCAGGAACCUGCUCUCGAUUUGCUGGGUGGUGGGGUAAAGGCCUCCUAGGGGAUCAUCGAUCCACGGCCCACACUCCUACGGAAGGCACCGUGGGGAUAUUGGGACAUUGGGCGCAGCCCUGAUCCACCAUGCCGCGGUGUGAGAGAAGUCUUCGGAUGUGUAGGCACUUCCCACG
Molecule: ribosomal RNA, 316 nt
Filed under: Gluconacetobacter diazotrophicus
Lineage: Bacteria; Pseudomonadati; Pseudomonadota; Alphaproteobacteria; Acetobacterales; Acetobacteraceae
Description: bacterial SSU rRNA
Rfam family: Bacterial small subunit ribosomal RNA
Source: RNAcentral